UUGGGAAUCUUGGACAAUGGGGGAAACCCUGAUCCAGCCAUGCCGCGUGAGUGAUGAAGGCCUUCGGGUUGUAAAGCUCUUUUACCCGGGAAGAUAAUGACUGUACCGGGAGAAUAAGCUCCGGCUAACUUCGUGCCAGCAGCCGCGGUAAUACGAAGGGGGCUAGCGUUGUUCGGAAUUACUGGGCGUAAAGCGCGCGCAGGCGGUUUCUCAAGUCAGUGGUGAAAGCCCGGAGCUCAACUCCGGAACUGCCAUUGAAACUGUGAAACUUGAGGACGAGAGAGGUGAGUGGAAUUCCCAGUGUAGAGGUGAAAUUCGUAGAUAUUGGGAAGAACACCGGUGGCGAAGGCGGCUCACUGGCUCGUUUCUGACGCUCAGGCGCGACAGCGUGGGGAUCAAACAGGAUUAGAUACCCUGGUAGUCCACGCCGUAAACGAUGAACGCUAGCCGUUGGAUAGCUUGCUAUUCAGUGGCGCAGCUAACGCAUUAAGCAAUCCGCCUGGGGAGUACGGUCGCAAGAUUA
RNAcentral lists this ribosomal RNA (523 nucleotides) under uncultured bacterium. Its description in RNAcentral is "bacterial SSU rRNA". It matches the Rfam family "Bacterial small subunit ribosomal RNA", at positions 355 to 896 of the family's 1533-position model. The record is from RNAcentral.